GACGAACGCUGGCGGCGUGCCUAAUACAUGCAAGUAGAACGCUGAAGGAGGAGCUUGCUUCUCUGGAUGAGUUGCGAACGGGUGAGUAACGCGUAGGUAACCUGCCUGGUAGCGGGGGAUAACUAUUGGAAACGAUAGCUAAUACCGCAUAAUAGCAGUUGUUGCAUGACAACUGUUUGAAAGGUGCAAUUGCACCACUACCAGAUGGACCUGCGUUGUAUUAGCUAGUUGGUGGGGUAACGGCUCACCAAGGCGACGAUACAUAGCCGACCUGAGAGGGUGAUCGGCCACACUGGGACUGAGACACGGCCCAGACUCCUACGGGAGGCAGCAGUAGGGAAUCUUCGGCAAUGGGCGGAAGUCUGACCGAGCAACGCCGCGUGAGUGAAGAAGGUUUUCGGAUCGUAAAGCUCUGUUGUAAGAGAAGAACGAGUGUGAGAGUGGAAAGUUCACACUGUGACGGUAUCUUACCAGAAAGGGACGGCUAACUACGUG
Molecule: ribosomal RNA, 495 nt
Filed under: uncultured bacterium
Lineage: Bacteria
Description: partial 16S ribosomal RNA
Rfam family: Bacterial small subunit ribosomal RNA
Source: RNAcentral